GGCUGUGAGGGCGAUCUGGCUGCGACAUCUGUCACCCCACUGCUCGCCCGGGUUGAUUCGGCUGAUCUGGCUGGCUAGGCGGGUGUCCCCUUCCUCCCUCACCGCUCCAUGUGCGUCCCUCCCGAAGCUGCGCACUCGGUCGAAGAAGACGGCCUUCCCCGAAUAGAGACGGACCGGUCUUCGGUCGAGGGUGUACGAGUAGCUGCGCUCCCUGCUAGGACCUCCAAACAAGCGCUCAAGGUUGAAACCAAAGUGAAAAGAAACGCUGAGCAGAUAAAAUAACCCAAAAUACUGAAUAGACUUUUGUAAUCCAAGAAAAAUGUCUCAAGAG
Unclassified non-coding RNA from Erinaceus europaeus (western European hedgehog), 331 nucleotides. Its record names the gene 7SK. It matches the Rfam family "7SK RNA". From Rfam's summary of the family: 7SK was discovered as an abundant small nuclear RNA in the mid-70s but a possible function has only recently been suggested. Two independent studies have found that 7SK RNA binds the CDK9/cyclin T complex (known as elongation factor P-TEFb). P-TEFb activates transcription by phosphorylating the C-terminal domain of RNA polymerase II. Lineage: Eukaryota; Metazoa; Chordata; Mammalia; Eulipotyphla; Erinaceidae. The record is from Ensembl.